AGACAUAAUACUUGCAUCUGAGUCUGUUUUAUAUGCAGAUCGCAUUCAUGAGGUCAUUUGCAUUGACCAUUUAUGGUUAAAAAGGGGCGUGUACAGGGCGGAACGUGAAGCUGAUUCAGCUGCGCACACUUGUAGGCACUCUGAUUUAUAAAGCAAAGAUUGCGUACGGUUUGCGUACGCAGGGUUUUAUAAAUCUGAAUAUUUUUUGGCGCACGCAAAACUUGGCUUUUGGGCGUACGUACACUUUUAGUAACGAUCCCACGCACAUUUUUUAUAAAUGAGACCCCUGGGGCCUCAUGUACUAAGACUUGCGUGGAUUUCAUACUGAAACUUGGCGUACGCCAAAACCCAGAAACUGUCUUACGCACAAAUAAAUUCAGAUGUAUCAAAGUGUGCGAACGCAUGGAUCCAAGCACGUUUCUUUUGUACAUCUCGAUCAACGUGGAAUUGAGCGCACAUGCCGAGGUGCCAAACUCCUCCCUGUCCACGCCCUCAUUUAAAUAUGCAAUUUCAUUUAAAUAGGCCUCUGGACCUGAGAUUCACCUCUUAAUCCGAUCACCUGGCACCAUGAACAGAGGCAAAAAACGAAACUUCACGGAGUCUGAGCUCGAGAUUUUGCUCCACGAGGUAGAAAUGCGCAAGCAUAUGCUAUUGGAACCCUGUCAACAGGGAUAAAUGCAAAACAAAAGAGAAGUGAGUGGGAGUGUGUUUGCGAGGCCGUCAAUGCAGUGGGGUCUCAGCAGCGCACACACUCUGAAAUAAAAAAAAAGUGGUCAGACCUCAAGGUGGAGGUGAAGCGGAGGGUUUCUGCCCACCGCCGAAGCGUGACCGCAACAGGUGGGGGGACGGGAGUGGGGGAACUCUCCCCCUUCGAUUUGAGAGUGGCCGCUUUGAUCGGUGACACAGCUCUCACCGGAGUGGUGGGAGCCCAUGAAGGGGACACCGAUCAUCCCCAAGACAAGCAAGGAGAGGGCACGGUUUGCUCCGUCGGCCCCGGCGUCUCCAGCGCCCUUCGGAUUUGACCAUUUGCGAUGUCCUCUAACAACGCUAACGCAGCCAUUUUUAAAACAAUUUUCUUCAUCCAUUGCGCAUGCUUUUAUAGCCACCCAUAUAAUUGCAAGUUUCCCAGCGUCACCUCUAAGUGUCGCCAAAGGAACAAUAGCUGUAGAAACGUGCGUACGACAGCUCUGGAGCUGGCGUGGGGACCGCACAUUUUUACGAUCAUUUCACGUUUUGUACAUCUGAACGUGAGCGUGGAAAAGGACGUACGCCACGUUUUUGUGCGUACGCAACCUUAGUACAUGAGGCCCCUGGUCUGUUUCU
Molecule: long non-coding RNA, 1323 nt
Organism: Gadus macrocephalus (Pacific cod)
Lineage: Eukaryota; Metazoa; Chordata; Actinopteri; Gadiformes; Gadidae
Exons: 3
Source: RefSeq, a predicted model, not a curated record